Molecule: ribosomal RNA, 253 nt
Filed under: uncultured bacterium
Lineage: Bacteria
Description: partial 16S ribosomal RNA
Rfam family: Bacterial small subunit ribosomal RNA
Source: RNAcentral
UACGAAGGGGGCAAGCGUUGUUCGGAAUGACUGGGCGUAAAGGGCGCGUAGGCGGCUUUGUAAGUUAGAGGUGAAAGCCCGGGGCUCAACUCCGGAAUUGCCUUUAAGACUGCAUCGCUAGAAUUGUGGAGAGGUAAGUGGAAUUCCGAGUGUAGAGGUGAAAUUCGUAGAUAUUCGGAAGAACACCAGUGGCGAAGGCGACUUACUGGACACAUAUUGACGCUGAGGUGCGAAAGCGUGGGGAGCAAACAGG